GCAUAGUAAGCGAUCAAACAUCAAAAAAAAAAAAUAAUAAUAAACAACAAACCAUCUCGCCGUGAUUCAUCAUCAUCUCCUCCGAUUAAUAAUAACAAACAACAAACCAUCUCGCCGUGAUUCAUCAUCUCCUCCGAUUCAACUCUCUCUCUGUCUCUCUCUCUCUCUCUCUCUCUCUCUCUCUUUGACUUCAGAUUUCGAUCUCCGUCCCCAAAUGGAGACUCCACCCGCGGAGGAGCUUCUCAAGAAGAUACGCGAGCUGGAGGAGAGCCAGGAGCAUCUGAAGCGCGAGAUGUCUAGGCUCAAGGUCUCGGCCGCCGAGGUUAAGCAGCAGCAGCAGCAGCGCUCGCAUUCAGUGUCUCCGCAGCGGAGGAGAAACAGUGGCGGCGAAGGAGGUGCUGCCCCGAGGUGGAGGAAGAGCGGGACGGCGUCGUUUCGCCACGCUUCCCCGCUGCGUAAGGAGAGCCGUGGUGGCGGCGGCGGCGAGGAGGGAAGAUCUGGUGGAGGAGGGAAGUUUACGGAGAAACAGUAUUUGAAUAUUUUGCAGUCUAUGGCGCAAGCUGUUCAUGUCUUUGAUCUUAACGGACAAAUCAUCUUUUGGAACGCAAUGGCGGAAAAGCUUUACGGCUUCUCAGCAGCAGAAGCACUCGGGAAAGACCCGAUCGAUAUUCUCGUAGAUGACCAAGACGCCGCGGUUGCACAGAACAUCACUCGCCGCUGCGGCUGCGGAGAGAGCUGGACCGGUGAGUUUCCCGUCAAGAACAAAGCAGGAGACAGGUUUUCGGUAGUGACCACAAUGUCUCCUUUCUACGAUGAUGAUGGCUCUCUUAUUGGGAUCAUAUGCAUCACAAACGACGCGGCUCUCUUUCAAGACCCGAGAGUCUCUCAAGCCAAGACGAGAGGGCAAGAAGAGGGAACAAGCUUUAGCCGAGUUGCAUCUAAGCUUGGUCUUGACUCCAAAGAGGCUGUUGCGUCGAAGCUUGGACUUGACUCUCAGCAGCCUAUACAAGUUGCUAUUAAAUCCAAGAUAUCAGAUUUGGCGUCCAAGGUGGGGAACAAGGUCAGGUCAAAGAUGCAAGCAGGUGAUAAUAGUUCUGCACACCAUGAAGGUGGAAGUGGGGACAGUCAUCAUUCGGACCAAGGCUUCUUCGAAGCUGCUUUGUUUGAACGUAAGGAGGAUGCAGGUGCUAGCACUAGCACAGCGAGGGGAGAUUUUAUCCAGUCUCCUUUCGGUGUGUUCCUACGCAGCGAUGACAAGUCUUCUUCUUCAAAGCCCUUCAGAGAUUCAAGCGAUGAAAACGAGAUUCCUAAGACGCUUGCGUCAAAAGCUGAAGAGUGGAUGGCGAAGAAAGGGUUGUCAUGGCCAUGGAAAGGGAACGAGCAAGAGGGUUUGGAAGGGAGGCGUGGUCAUUCGGUGUGGCCUUGGGUGCAGAACGAACCGCAGAAGGAAGAAGGUCAUCAGAGUAAUAAGGCUGCUAGUAAUGAGGCUGUGGGCGGGUAUUGGUCUUCCCCUGUUAAUGUGAACAGCACGAGCAGUGCUAGCAGCUGUGGAAGUACUAGCAGCAGCGUUAUGAACAAGGUUGAUAUGGAUAGUGACUGCUUGGACUAUGAAAUCUUGUGGGAGGAUUUGACAAUUGGAGAACAGAUUGGGCAAGGUUCAUGUGGAACUGUCUACCACGGUCUAUGGUUUGGAUCUGAUGUGGCUGUAAAGGUGUUCUCCAAACAAGAAUAUUCUGAAGAGAUCAUUACAUCUUUUAGACAAGAGGUGUCGUUGAUGAAAAGACUUAGACAUCCAAAUGUGCUACUGUUUAUGGGAGCUGUGACAUCACCCCAGCGUCUCUGUAUCGUGACAGAGUUCCUUCCACGUGGAAGUCUAUUCCGUUUGCUGCAGAGGAACACAUCAAAACUGGAUUGGAGGCGACGUAUCCAUAUGGCAUCGGACAUUGCUCGUGGCAUGAACUAUCUUCACCAUUGUAGUCCACCCAUCAUUCACCGCGACCUGAAGUCAUCAAAUCUACUGGUUGAUCGAAACUGGACAGUGAAGGUUGCUGACUUUGGUCUCUCGCGUAUUAAGCAUGAGACAUACCUCACUACGAAGACAGGAAGAGGAACGCCUCAAUGGAUGGCACCAGAGGUUCUUCGAAAUGAAGCUGCUGAUGAAAAGUCUGACGUUUACAGCUUCGGAGUAGUACUAUGGGAGCUUGUGACUGAGAAGAUUCCGUGGGAAAAUCUAAAUGCUAUGCAGAAUACUUGCAGGUGAUUGGAGCUGUGGGGUUUAUGAACCAGAGACUCGAAGUCCCAAAGGAUGUUGAUCCUCAGUGGAUUUCUCUUAUGGAAAGCUGCUGGCAUAGUGAACCACAGUGCAGACCGACGUUCCAACAAGUUAUGGAGAAACUAAGAGAGCUUCAAAGGAAAUACACUAUGCAGUUUCAGGCAACCCGUGCUGCAUCCAUAGACAACUCUUCCCUCAAGGAAAAAUAAAACCCUGAGCAGGAUCUGAUUGGCGUUGAAGAAGAAGCUUAGCUACAGAAGAAAGGUGAAUGAAGAGAAAGCAGCAAGAAGAAGCUUUGGUAAGCUGCUAAACUCGAUUGAUAAUCUCUCUCUCAUUACGAGAGGUAAGUUCGUUUCAAAUGUAUCAUGUGCUUGCGAGCUGAGCUAGAGAGGAUAUAUAUAGUUAUGCAUGAGGCAGACCCAGUUCUUUUUCCUUGAAAGAAUUGCUUGUACAGAUGAAAAGAACGAGGAUGAAUCAAAAGAUUUGGAAGUAAAUUUUGUUACAUUUUAUUGGAUUAUGCCUUUGUUAUUGUUCUGUGUUUGUUAUUGUUGUCAAUGAAAACGAGUGUUGUGGAAA
Brassica oleracea var. oleracea is the source of this 2848-nucleotide RNA transcript. It is a transcript of the gene named serine/threonine-protein kinase pakF, with no coding region annotated. The record is from RefSeq and is a predicted model, not a curated record. Lineage: Eukaryota; Viridiplantae; Streptophyta; Magnoliopsida; Brassicales; Brassicaceae. The transcript has 13 exons.